Nerophis lumbriciformis (worm pipefish) is the source of this 1455-nucleotide long non-coding RNA. RefSeq lists it as uncharacterized. NCBI's taxonomy places the organism in Eukaryota, Metazoa, Chordata, Actinopteri, Syngnathiformes, Syngnathidae. The record is from RefSeq and is a predicted model, not a curated record.
AGGAUUUUAUCAGGGAAGGGGGCUUUGUAUCUCAGCAAAUCCUUAAUUGUGAUGAGACCAAAAAAGAUGCAACAGUGGACCUUUAUUACAGCGAAGGAGAAGACUCUAUCGAGACACAAGCCCGAUGCAGGAUCGCCUCACACAGCGAGUUUGUGCUAACGCUAGCCGUCACUAUGUGAACCCACUGCUUGUGUAUCACUCCUAAACUCCCAUAGUGUUCAACAAUGCCACAAAUAUACCCAGACACAAGACUCUAUUGCUUGGACUCCACAUGACGAGCCUGGUUGAGUGACAUGAGUGGGUGAAUGAGUUCACAAUGUGUGUGUGUACAUGCAUGUGUUGAGAGGGAAUGUGUGUGUGUGUGUGUAUGUGUGUGUGUGUGUGUGUGUGUGUGUGUGUGUGUGUGUGUGUGUGUGUGUGUGUCAGAGAGAGAGAGUUAGGAAGGGGAGUAAGGCGGUAAAGAUAGACGGGACAACCUGGUUUGACUGACCACAAAAGCAUUCUCCCUGCGGCCCUCAAGACCCGCAGCUGAUCACAGCACAUGGGUCGCGGGGGGCGCUGGAGCCUAUCUCAGCUACAAUCGGGCGGAAGGCGGGCUACACCUUGGACAAGUCGCCAUCUCAUCACAGGGCAGUGGUCCCCAACUUUUUAGUAACUGUGAACCCGAUCAACGCUUGAAAAUUUGUCCCACGGACCGGGGGGGUUUGGGGUCAUAAAAAAAUACAGUCAUGUGUGCUUACGGACUGUAUUCCUGCAGACUGUAUUGAUCUAUUGAUAUAUAAAGUAGGAACCAGAAUAUUAAUAACAGAAAGAAACAACCCUUUUGUGCGAAUGAGUGUGAAUGAGUAUAAAUGGGGGAGGGAGUUUUUUUGGGUUGAAGAGUAAGGUGUAUCUUGUGUUUUUUAUGUUGAUUUAAUAAAACAAAAAAUUAAAAAAUGUUUUUUAAUUUCUUGUGCGGCUCGGUGCCAAUCGAUCUAUGGACCGGUACCGGGCCGUGGCCCGGUGGUUGGCGACCACUGGUUUAGGGGACGAGACAGAGAAUAUAUAUUAUUAUAUAUAAUUACAAAAGUCCCUUGGUAGGCCCCCAAAAUGACUUAAUAUUAGAUAUUGUUUGCACAGUCUCCCCACCCCACCACUCCAAUUUGCAACAUAUUACAUCACCUAAAGAUGCUUUGAAAUGGCUCCAAGUGACUUUCUUGACUUGUUCAAGUCAAUGAUUCGUUUUUUCAGAUCUGUGCUGACUUCCUUUGACUUUCCCAUUGUUGCGUUUGUAACCGAGUCUAAUGACCGCAUCACAUGAGCCCUAUUUAAAUGGGCUCAGAGAAGUCAACACAAUCAUAAUCACUCACAUGAAGUUAAGAGGCCAUGCCAUGAAGCUAAUUUGAUUUGAUUGUAACUUUUCUACAUCACCAACAUUGAUCAUGUACUGUAUGUUGCUGUAUGUAUACUUUUGAC